RNAcentral lists this ribosomal RNA (253 nucleotides) under uncultured Alphaproteobacteria bacterium. RNAcentral's name for it is "partial 16S ribosomal RNA". It matches the Rfam family "Bacterial small subunit ribosomal RNA", at positions 524 to 776 of the family's 1533-position model. Lineage: Bacteria; Pseudomonadati; Pseudomonadota; Alphaproteobacteria. The record is from RNAcentral.
UACGGAGGGGGCUAGCGUUGUUCGGAAUUACUGGGCGUAAAGCGCACGUAGGCGGACCUGCAAGUUGGGGGUGAAAUCCCGGGGCUCAACCCCGGAACUGCCUCCAGGACUGCCGGUCUGGAGUUCGGGAGAGGCGAGUGGAAUUCCGAGUGUAGAGGUGAAAUUCGUAGAUAUUCGGAGGAACACCAGUGGCGAAGGCGGCUCGCUGGCCCGAUACUGACGCUGAGGUGCGAAAGCGUGGGGAGCAAACAGG